GGUGCACUGGUGGGGUCCCUCGGCCUGACCUGCAGGGAUCGAGCUGAAACAGACUCUCCAUCAUCCCCUGAGGGGUCCCAGAUUGAGAAAGGGUGUAGGUCAGGCCGAGGGACCCCACCAGUGCACC
This 127-nucleotide microRNA precursor is filed under the name Myotis davidii. Its description in RNAcentral is "mir-9193 microRNA precursor family". The record is from Rfam by way of RNAcentral. Lineage: Eukaryota; Metazoa; Chordata; Mammalia; Chiroptera; Vespertilionidae.